The sequence is a ribosomal RNA, 560 nucleotides long. It matches the Rfam family "Bacterial small subunit ribosomal RNA", at positions 103 to 676 of the family's 1533-position model.
CGGGUGAGUAACACGUGGGCAAUCUGCCCUGCACUCUGGGACAAGCCCUGGAAACGGGGUCUAAUACCGGAUACUGACCCGCUUGGGCAUCCAAGCGGUUCGAAAGCUCCGGCGGUGCAGGAUGAGCCCGCGGCCUAUCAGCUUGUUGGUGAGGUAAUGGCUCACCAAGGCGACGACGGGUAGCCGGCCUGAGAGGGCGACCGGCCACACUGGGACUGAGACACGGCCCAGACUCCUACGGGAGGCAGCAGUGGGGAAUAUUGCACAAUGGGCGAAAGCCUGAUGCAGCGACGCCGCGUGAGGGAUGACGGCCUUCGGGUUGUAAACCUCUUUCAGCAGGGAAGAAGCGAAAGUGACGGUACCUGCAGAAGAAGCGCCGGCUAACUACGUGCCAGCAGCCGCGGUAAUACGUAGGGCGCGAGCGUUGUCCGGAAUUAUUGGGCGUAAAGAGCUCGUAGGCGGCUUGUCACGUCGGUUGUGAAAGCCCGGGGCUUAACCCCGGGUCUGCAGUCGAUACGGGCAGGCUAGAGUUCGGUAGGGGAGAUCGGAAUUCCUGGUGU